RNAcentral lists this transfer RNA (74 nucleotides) under Bacteroidota bacterium. Its description in RNAcentral is "Bacteroidetes bacterium (activated sludge metagenome) tRNA-Arg". It matches the Rfam family "tRNA". Rfam says of the family: Transfer RNA (tRNA) molecules are approximately 80 nucleotides in length. Their secondary structure includes four short double-helical elements and three loops (D, anti-codon, and T loops). Lineage: Bacteria; Pseudomonadati; Bacteroidota. The record is from RNAcentral.
GGUUCCGUAGUUCAACUGGAUAGAAUAUCAGAUUUCGGCUCUGAGGGUUGGGGGUUCGAAUCCCUCCGGGAUCA